CUGAUGCAGCCAUGCCGCGUGUGUGAAGAAGGCCUUCGGGUUGUAAAGCACUUUCAGUCGUGAGGAAGGUGGUGUUGUUAAUAGCUGCAUUAUUUGACGUUAGCGACAGAAGAAGCACCGGCUAACUCCGUGCCAGCAGCCGCGGUAAUACGGAGGGUGCGAGCGUUAAUCGGAAUUACUGGGCGUAAAGCGCAUGCAGGUGGUUUGUUAAGUCAGAUGUGAAAGCCCGGGGCUCAACCUCGGAAUAGCAUUUGAAACUGGCAGACUAGAGUACUGUAGAGGGGGGUAGAAUUUCAGGUGUAGCGGUGAAAUGCGUAGAGAUCUGAAGGAAUACCGGUGGCGAAGGCGGCCCCCUGGACAGAUACUGACACUCAGAUGCGAAAGCGUGGGGAGCAAACAGGAUUAGAUACCCUGGUAGUCCACGCCGUAAACGAUGUCUACUUGGAGGUUGUGGCCUUGAGCCGUGGCUUUCGGAGCUAACGCGUUAAGUAGACCGCCUGGGGAGUACGGUCGCAAGAUUAAAACUCAAAUGAAUUGACGGGGGCCCGCACAAGCGGUGGAGCAUGUGGUUUAAUUCGAUGCAACGCGAAGAACCUUACCUACUCUUGACAUCCAGAGAACUUUCCAGAGAUGGAUUGGUGCCUUCGGGAACUCUGAGACAGGUGCUGCAUGGCUGUCGUCAGCUCGUGUUGUGAAAUGUUGGGUUAAGUCCCGCAACGAGCGCAACCCUUAUCCUUGUUUGCCAGCACUUCGGGUGGGAACUCCAGGGAGACUGCCGGUGAUAAACCGGAGGAAGGUGGGGACGACGUCAAGUCAUCAUGGCCCUUACGAGUAGGGCUACACACGUGCUACAAUGGCGCAUACAGAGGGC
RNAcentral lists this ribosomal RNA (871 nucleotides) under Vibrio sp. RNAcentral's name for it is "bacterial SSU rRNA". It matches the Rfam family "Bacterial small subunit ribosomal RNA", at positions 383 to 1247 of the family's 1533-position model. The record is from RNAcentral. Lineage: Bacteria; Pseudomonadati; Pseudomonadota; Gammaproteobacteria; Vibrionales; Vibrionaceae.